Molecule: ribosomal RNA, 460 nt
Filed under: uncultured bacterium
Lineage: Bacteria
Description: partial 16S ribosomal RNA
Rfam family: Bacterial small subunit ribosomal RNA
Source: RNAcentral
CCUACGGGGGACAGCAGUGAGGAAUAUUGGUCAAUGGACGGAAGUCUGAACCAGCCAAGUAGCGUGAAGGAUGACUGCCCUACGGGUUGUAAACUUCUUUUAUAAAGGAAUAAAGUGAGUCACGUGUGCCUUUUUGUAUGUACUUUAUGAAUAAGGAUCGGCUAACUCCGUGCCAGCAGCCGCGGUAAUACGGAGGAUCCGAGCGUUAUCCGGAUUUAUUGGGUUUAAAGGGAGCGUAGAUGGGUUGUUAAGUCAGUUGUGAAAGUUUGCGGCUCAACCGUAAAAGUGCAAUUGAUACUGGCAGACUUGAGUACAGUUGAGGUAGGCGGAAUUCGUUGUGUAGCGGUGAAAUGCUUAGAUAUCACGAAGAACUCCGAUUGCGAAGGCAGCCUACUAAACUGCAACUGACAUUGAGGCUCGAAAGUGUGGGUAUCAAACAGGAUUAGAUACCCCUGUAGUC